This 769-nucleotide ribosomal RNA is filed under the name uncultured Pseudoalteromonadaceae bacterium. Its description in RNAcentral is "bacterial SSU rRNA". It matches the Rfam family "Bacterial small subunit ribosomal RNA", at positions 28 to 776 of the family's 1533-position model. The record is from RNAcentral. Lineage: Bacteria; Pseudomonadati; Pseudomonadota; Gammaproteobacteria; Alteromonadales; Pseudoalteromonadaceae.
AUUGAACGCUGGCGGCAGGCCUAACACAUGCAAGUCGAGCGGAAACGAGUUAUCUGAACCUUCGGGGAACGAUAAUGGCGUCGAGCGGCGGACGGGUGAGUAAUGCCUAGGAAAUUGCCCUGAUGUGGGGGAUAACCAUUGGAAACGAUGGCUAAUACCGCAUGAUGCCUACGGGCCAAAGAGGGGGACCUUCGGGCCUCUCGCGUCAGGAUAUGCCUAGGUGGGAUUAGCUAGUUGGUGAGGUAAGGGCUCACCAAGGCGACGAUCCCUAGCUGGUCUGAGAGGAUGAUCAGCCACACUGGAACUGAGACACGGUCCAGACUCCUACGGGAGGCAGCAGUGGGGAAUAUUGCACAAUGGGCGCAAGCCUGAUGCAGCCAUGCCGCGUGUAUGAAGAAGGCCUUCGGGUUGUAAAGUACUUUCAGUCGUGAGGAAGGUAGUGUAGUUAAUAGCUGCAUUAUUUGACGUUAGCGACAGAAGAAGCACCGGCUAACUCCGUGCCAGCAGCCGCGGUAAUACGGAGGGUGCGAGCGUUAAUCGGAAUUACUGGGCGUAAAGCGCAUGCAGGUGGUUUGUUAAGUCAGAUGUGAAAGCCCGGGGCUCAACCUCGGAAUAGCAUUUGAAACUGGCAGACUAGAGUACUGUAGAGGGGGGUAGAAUUUCAGGUGUAGCGGUGAAAUGCGUAGAGAUCUGAAGGAAUACCGGUGGCGAAGGCGGCCCCCUGGACAGAUACUGACACUCAGAUGCGAAAGCGUGGGGAGCAAACAGG